GUGUGCAGCCAUAUCACCCUGAAUGUGCCCGAUCUUGUCUGAUCUAACAAGCUAAGCAGGGUCAGGCUUGGUUUGUACUUGGUUGAGGGACUGUCUGGAAAUACUGGGUGCUGUAGGUU
This 119-nucleotide ribosomal RNA is filed under the name Jaculus jaculus (lesser Egyptian jerboa). The record is from RNAcentral. Lineage: Eukaryota; Metazoa; Chordata; Mammalia; Rodentia; Dipodidae.